CCCAGAUCCGUGCCCGUAACAGUCCCUGGAGCCCAGGCUCAGGGCUGCUGCAGGUACUGGAGCACCAUCUCUGAGAUCUGCUCGAAGCUGAACGUGCACUCUACACCUGAAGACAUGAAUCUGCGGCUGGAGCUGCAGAAUGAUAGCCUUCUGAUGGCUAACCUGGCUGCCUUCCGGAACAUCUCAAAGGAGAUCGUCAUUGCUUCUAAUGAGUCUUUAUUCAUCAGUAAAAAUCUGGAGGAUCUGGAGAAAUUCCUGCAAACCUUGCCCAUGCCCAUAUCCCAGAGAGAAGUGUACAUCGAAGCAGAAGAUUUUAAUGAGUUCUCGGGGAAGCUGAAAGUCUUUCUGGAAGCCCUGGAUGAGUUCCUGUUGGGCUUACUGAAGUGCCCAGAAACUUUCAAAGCCUCGUGUAGAAAAUCUUAGUCCAGGCCUUUGCAUGCCCAGGGCUCUGAGUUGGGUCUCCAGCCCUCCUCCUUGAUACUCCAGUGAAAGCUCCACUCUGUCACAGAUCACAUUGACAAUCCUAUUUAUGUAACAAUUUAUUUAUUGUCCUCCCUAUUAUGGAGUUAUUUAUUUUAAUAAUGGAGCCCUCUUAGGAGCCUCUGAGCAAAGCUCAGAGAGGAUGUGAAGCCAUUUUCAUUUGUACCUCAGAUUUCAAAUGGGUUCCUUCUCCUCCGUGAAAAAUAAAUAUUUUAUGAAGAG
This 702-nucleotide long non-coding RNA is filed under the name Ursus americanus (American black bear). RNAcentral describes it as "lncRNA (ENSUAMG00000007071.1)". The record is from RNAcentral. Lineage: Eukaryota; Metazoa; Chordata; Mammalia; Carnivora; Ursidae.